This 253-nucleotide ribosomal RNA is filed under the name uncultured bacterium. RNAcentral describes it as "partial 16S ribosomal RNA". It matches the Rfam family "Bacterial small subunit ribosomal RNA", at positions 524 to 776 of the family's 1533-position model. The record is from RNAcentral.
UACGAAGGGGGCUAGCGUUGUUCGGAAUCACUGGGCGUAAAGGGUGCGUAGGCGGGUCUUUAAGUCAGGGGUGAAAUCCUGGAGCUCAACUCCAGAACUGCCUUUGAUACUGAGGAUCUUGAGUUCGGGAGAGGUGAGUGGAACUGCGAGUGUAGAGGUGAAAUUCGUAGAUAUUCGCAAGAACACCAGUGGCGAAGGCGGAUCACUGGCCCGAUACUGACGCUGAGGCACGAAAGCGUGGGGAGCAAACAGG